GGAAUUUUCCGCAAUGGGCGAAAGCCUGACGGAGCAACGCCGCGUGAGGGAUGAAGGCCUCUGGGCUGUAAACCUCUUUUCUCAAGGAAGAAGAUCUGACGGUACUUGAGGAAUAAGCCACGGCUAAUUCCGUGCCAGCAGCCGCGGUAAUACGGGAGUGGCAAGCGUUAUCCGGAAUUAUUGGGCGUAAAGCGUCCGCAGGCGGCCCUUCAAGUCUGCUGUUAAAAAGUGGAGCUUAACUCCAUCAUGGCAGUGGAAACUGUUGGGCUUGAGUGUGGUAGGGGCAGAGGGAAUUUCUAGUGUAGCGGUGAAAUGCGUAGAUAUUAGAAAGAACACCGGUGGCGAAGGCGCUCUACUGGAUCAUUACUGACACUCAGAGGCGAAAGCUAGGGGAGCGAAAGGGAUUAGAUACCCCAGUAGUC
RNAcentral lists this ribosomal RNA (422 nucleotides) under uncultured cyanobacterium. RNAcentral describes it as "bacterial SSU rRNA". It matches the Rfam family "Bacterial small subunit ribosomal RNA", at positions 358 to 795 of the family's 1533-position model. Lineage: Bacteria; Bacillati; Cyanobacteriota. The record is from RNAcentral.